UCCGAGUUGACCCCGGCAGUCUCCCAUGAGUCCCCGGCAUAACCCGCUGGCAACAUGGAACGAGGGUUGCGCUCGUUGCGGGACUUAACCCAACAUCUCACGACACGAGCUGACGACAGCCAUGCACCACCUGUGCACUAGCCCCGAAGGGCUGCCGUAUUUCUACGACAUUCCAGUGCAUGUCAAGCCCUGGUAAGGUUCUUCGCGUUGCGUCGAAUUAAACAACAUGCUCCGCUGCUUGUGCGGGGACCCGUCAAUUCCUUUGAGUUUUAGCCUUGCGGCCGUACUCCCCAGGCGGGGCACUUAAUGCGUUUGCUGCGGCACGGAGAACGUGGAAGGUUCCCCACACCUAGCGCCCAACGUUUACGGCGUGGACUAC
RNAcentral lists this unclassified non-coding RNA (379 nucleotides) under uncultured Actinomycetes bacterium. Its description in RNAcentral is "uncultured actinobacterium contains 16S-23S intergenic spacer region". Lineage: Bacteria; Bacillati; Actinomycetota; Actinomycetes. The record is from RNAcentral.